AUACGGAGGGUCCAAGCGUUAUCCGGAAUCAUUGGGUUUAAAGGGUCCGCAGGCGGUCAAUUAAGUCAGAGGUGAAAGCCCAUCGCUCAACGAUGGAACUGCCUUUGAUACUGGUUGACUUGAGUUAUACGGAAGUAGAUAGAAUAAGUAGUGUAGCGGUGAAAUGCAUAGAUAUUACUUAGAAUACCGAUUGCGAAGGCAGUCUACUACGUAUAUACUGACGCUGCGGGACGAAAGCGUGGGGAGCGAACAGGAUUAGAAACCCCGGUAGUCC
RNAcentral lists this ribosomal RNA (274 nucleotides) under uncultured bacterium. RNAcentral's name for it is "partial 16S ribosomal RNA". It matches the Rfam family "Bacterial small subunit ribosomal RNA", at positions 523 to 796 of the family's 1533-position model. The record is from RNAcentral.